UACUAUAUGAUAAGAAAAAACAUAUAAAAUACAGAUUUGUAAAUCAUAAAUAUAUUAAAAGCAAUUACUCUGUUAAAAAUUCACCAACCAAAAAAAUCAUCAACUAACCAAACGCUGUCACGACCGGGAAUCUUUAAAUUAUUAUUUCAGAACCGGUUUUUCAAUUAAUUUACAGUUUAAAUUUAUUUUUAAUAGUUUUUAAUUAAGUUAAUAGCCCUCUUUAAAAUACACUAUUGGACCCCACAAAAAAAAUACAUCCUUGGAAGUGGUCUUAGUUUUAUCAUCUAAAAGAUAUGAAUUUGAUUUUGUAAAGGUUACAAUUAUUUCCAAGAAAUGUAUCAUAGACAAGUUGGAGGAAGAAGACGAAACGAAUCAGGUAAAUUGAAAUUAAGAAAGCUAUUAAGGUAAAAUUAAAAAAUGGGUAGAUUAGAAGUAGUUGUCUUUUCAUAAAACCCAAUAGUACUUGAAAUUGUUAG
This 476-nucleotide small RNA is filed under the name Arabidopsis thaliana (thale cress). RNAcentral describes it as "ATSL059180". Lineage: Eukaryota; Viridiplantae; Streptophyta; Magnoliopsida; Brassicales; Brassicaceae. The record is from RNAcentral.